GGAGGGUGCAAGCGUUAUCCGGAUUCACUGGGUUUAAAGGGUGCGUAGGCGGGUAGGUAAGUCAGAGGUGAGAUCCUGGAGCUUAACUCCAGAACUGCCUUUGAUACUAUCUAUCUUGAAUAUGGUGGAGGUAAGCGGAAUAUGUCAUGUAGCGGUGAAAUGCAUAGAUAUGACAUAGAACACCUAUUGCGAAGGCAGCUUACUACCCCUAUAUUGACGCUGAGGCACGAAAGCGUGGGGAUCAAACAGGAUUAGAUACCCUGGUAGUCCACGCCCUAAACGAUGAUUACUCGACGUAUGCGAUACACAGUAUGCGUCUGAGCGAAAGCAUUAAGUAAUCCACCUGGGAAGUACGACCGCAAGGUUG
RNAcentral lists this ribosomal RNA (367 nucleotides) under uncultured bacterium. RNAcentral describes it as "bacterial SSU rRNA". It matches the Rfam family "Bacterial small subunit ribosomal RNA", at positions 527 to 896 of the family's 1533-position model. The record is from RNAcentral.